This 494-nucleotide ribosomal RNA is filed under the name uncultured bacterium. Its description in RNAcentral is "partial 16S ribosomal RNA". It matches the Rfam family "Bacterial small subunit ribosomal RNA", at positions 28 to 507 of the family's 1533-position model. The record is from RNAcentral.
GACGAACGCUGGCGGCGUGCUUAACACAUGCAAGUCGAACGGUGAAGCGCCUUCCUUUUUGGUGGGUGUGGAUGAGUGGCGAACGGGUGAGUAACACGUGAGUAACCUGCCCCCUUCUUCUGGAUAACCGCAUGAAAGUGUGGCUAAUACGGGAUAUUCUGGGUCUGUCGCAUGAUGGGUCUGGGAAAGAUAUUGUUUCGGUGGGGGAUGGGCUCGCGGCCUAUCAGCUUGUUGGUGGGGUGAUGGCCUACCAAGGCGGUGACGGGUAGCCGGCCUGAGAGGGUGGCCGGCCCCAGGGGAAGGGAGACCCGCCCGGGACUCGGGGGGGGGCCGGAGGGGGGUAUUAGUGAACAGGGGGCGAAGGCGGGGUGCGGCGCCGCGGGGGGGGGGAUGGGGCCCUGGGGGUUGGGACCCUCUUUCGCGGGGGAGGCAGGCCGGCCUUUUUUGUGGGUGGUUUGAGGGUAGGUGAUAAAGAAGCCCCGGCUAACUACGUC